UUACCACCUUGACAUCGCAGAGAUUGGUUCGCCGACAGGUGCUGCAUGGCUGUCGUCAGCUCGUGUCGUGAGAUGUUGGGUUAAGUCCCGCAACGAGCGCAACCCCACUUUAGUUGCCAUCAUAUGGGACUCUGAAGAACUGCCAGUGAUAACUGGAGGAAGGUGGGGAUGACGUCAAGUCCUCAUGGCCCUUACGGUGGGCUACACACGUGCUACAAUGGUCUACACAGGGCACGGCAACGUAAGCAAUCCCGAAAGAACCUCAGUUCGGAUUGCACUCUGCAACUCGAGUGCAUGAAGCUGGAAUUACUAGUAAUCGUGAUCAGCGUGCACGGUGAAUGCGUUCCCGGGUCUUGUACACACCGCCCGUCACACCAUGGGAGUUGGUCACCUAA
This 395-nucleotide ribosomal RNA is filed under the name uncultured bacterium. RNAcentral describes it as "bacterial SSU rRNA". It matches the Rfam family "Bacterial small subunit ribosomal RNA", at positions 971 to 1422 of the family's 1533-position model. The record is from RNAcentral.